This 28-nucleotide small RNA is filed under the name Bombyx mori (domestic silkworm). RNAcentral describes it as "piRNA piR-bmo-2252401". Lineage: Eukaryota; Metazoa; Arthropoda; Insecta; Lepidoptera; Bombycidae. The record is from RNAcentral.
UAGAUGGGUCUCCGGACACCGGGGUAUA